AUUAACGCUAGCGGCAGGCAUAAUACAUGCAAGUUGAACGGCAGCACAGGUAGCAAUACCGGGUGGCGAGUGGCGCACGGGUGCGUAACACGUAUGCAACCUACCCUAUACAGGCGAAUAACCUUUAGAAAUGAGGGCUAAUACGCCGUAGUAUUAUCUUAGGGCAUCUUAAGAUAAUUAAAGAUUUAUCGGUAUAGGAUGGGCAUGCGUCCCAUUAGUUAGUUGGUAGGGUAACGGCUUACCAAGGCUAUGAUGGGUAGGGG
Molecule: ribosomal RNA, 263 nt
Filed under: uncultured bacterium
Lineage: Bacteria
Description: partial 16S ribosomal RNA
Rfam family: Bacterial small subunit ribosomal RNA
Source: RNAcentral